RNAcentral lists this ribosomal RNA (250 nucleotides) under uncultured bacterium. RNAcentral describes it as "partial 16S ribosomal RNA". It matches the Rfam family "Bacterial small subunit ribosomal RNA", at positions 524 to 773 of the family's 1533-position model. The record is from RNAcentral.
GACGGAGGGAGCAAGCGUUGUUCGGAAUUACUGGGCGUAAAGGGCGCGUAGGUGGUUAGAUAAGUCAGAAGUGAAAUCCCAGAGCUUAACUCUGGAACUGCUUUUGAAACUAUCUUUCUAGAGUUUGGUAGGGGGUGAUGGAAUUCCUAGUGUAGCGGUGGAAUGCUUAGAUAUUAGGAGGAACACCGAUGGCGAAAGCGAUCACCUGGGCCAUAACUGACACUGAGGCGCGAAAGCAUGGGUAGCAAAC